CCUACGGGUGGCAGCAGUGAGGAAUAUUGGUCAAUGGACGAGAGUCUGAACCAGCCAAGCAGCGUGAAGGAUGACUGCCCUCUGGGUUGUAAACUUCUUUUAUAUGGGAAUAAAAUGUUCCACGUGUGGGAUUUUGUAUGUACCAUAUGAAUAAGGAUCGGCUAACUCCGUGCCAGCAGCCGCGGUAAUACGGAGGAUCCGAGCGUUAUCCGGAUUUAUUGGGUUUAAAGGGAGCGUAGGUGGAUUGUCAAGUCAGUUGUGAAAGUUUGCGGCUCAACCGUAAAAUUGCAGUUGAAACUGGCAGUCUGGAGUGCAGUAGAGGUGGGCGGAAUUCGUGGUGUAGCGGUGAAAUGCUUAGAUAUCACGAAGAACUCCGAUUGCGAAGGCAGCUCGCUGGACUGCAACUGACACUGAGGCUCGAAAGUGUGGGUAUCAAACAGGAUUAGAUACCCUAGUAGUC
RNAcentral lists this ribosomal RNA (460 nucleotides) under uncultured bacterium. RNAcentral describes it as "partial 16S ribosomal RNA". It matches the Rfam family "Bacterial small subunit ribosomal RNA", at positions 338 to 795 of the family's 1533-position model. The record is from RNAcentral.